GCAAGAUUAAAACUCAAAGGAAUAGACGGGGACCCGCACAAGCGGUGGAGCAUGUGGUUUAAUUCGACGAUACGCGAAGAACCUUACCUGGCCUUGACAUAGAAAGAACUUUCCAGAGACGGAUUGGUGCUAGUUUACUAGAGCUUUCAUACAGGUGCUGCACGGCUGUCGUCAGCUCGUGUCGUGAGAUGUUGGGUUAAGUCCCGCAACGAGCGCAACCCUCGUGUUUAGUUACUAACAGUUCGGCUGAGGACUCUAGACAGACUGCCUGGGUAACCAGGAGGAAGGUGAGGACGACGUCAAGUCAUCAUGGCCCUUACGGCCAGGGCUACACACGUGCUACAAUGGGGUAUACAAAGAGCCGCAAUACCGUGAGGUGGAGCAAAUCUCAUAAAAUAUCUCCCAGUUCGGAUAGCAGUCUGCAACUCGACUGCUUGAAGUUGGAAUCGCUAGUAAUCGUAAAUCAGCAACGUCACGGUGAAUACGUUCCCGGGUCUUGUACUCACCGCCCGUCACACCAUGGGAAUUGAAUUCAUUCGAAGCGGGGAUGCUAAAAUAGCUACCUUCCACAGUGGAUUUAGUAACUAGGGUGAAGUCGUAACAAGGUA
Molecule: ribosomal RNA, 608 nt
Filed under: uncultured bacterium
Lineage: Bacteria
Description: bacterial SSU rRNA
Rfam family: Bacterial small subunit ribosomal RNA
Source: RNAcentral